UGUUGAGAAGUAAGUUCCGCUGCUUGCAGCACUUUCCGCCUCUGCUAUACAGCCCUGAUAGAGCAGCGCGAAUCAUUUAUGCAUGCGUUGCUCUCCAUAACGUUGCAUUGGACGCGGGCGACUGGUCAUUGGACGAUUAAGGUGGAGAAGUGCCACCAGCUGAGGAGUCAGAGGAGCCUGGAGACAGCCAGGUGCUGGCACCGCACGACGUGUUUCUCACAGGAACGCAGCAGCGCAUUGCCGUUGUCAACCUUUUCUGAAGGACACAGGAAUGGUGCCCAGCUAUGUCUCGUGCCAUAGAGCGCACCUGCAUCAGGAUAGCCUCCUGAGCCGCUGCCGUCCUCUCAGCCGCGACAGCCAUCCUUUGUCGUGACAGCCGUCCUCUCUGCCGCGACAGUGAUGCGGGUGGUGUAUUCCUCAACCCUCCGCUGCGCCUGUAAUGAAUAAUCGUGGUGGAACUGUUCGCAUGAGUUGCUGAUUACUCGCAACCAGCUCAUGGCUGGAAGCUGCGGUUGUCAAGAAUUGCAACGUGCACGACAAUUCCCUCUCAGUUGAAGAGCCACUGGCCUGGUGGUAUCCUUUGGCAGUGUCAAGCGUCGUGUACAAGCUAUGCCCUCUUCGUUUGGACAAAGACCUACUGGAACUACUCUUCCGUCAUCUACUCAAAUGCAUCUCUUACCACCAAACAGCCUUUUUCAGGGCUAACCAACCUUUUGCCCGGCGGUUGAUCGUUGGCAAGAUACGAUACCGAACCCUCAAUACAACGCAUAUUUCUUGUUUACAUCCCAA
Long non-coding RNA from Dermacentor silvarum, 789 nucleotides. RefSeq lists it as uncharacterized. NCBI's taxonomy places the organism in Eukaryota, Metazoa, Arthropoda, Arachnida, Ixodida, Ixodidae. The record is from RefSeq and is a predicted model, not a curated record. The transcript has 2 exons.